UAAACAUGCAAACCCCUCUAAAUACAUUAACUAAUAGUCAACAUUGAAAUUAAACAUUGGGUCGGGACUAUUUUUUGCAUAUCUUUAGCACAACAUAUGCUCCUAGGAAAAUUUUAUCUGAAGUAAUUUUAUUUUUAUUCUCUAAUAUUUUCACUAUAUUCCACAAGGUGCCAUUAAUGGCACUAACAUUUAUGUUUGCCCAGCACUAGGUUGUUUCAGCUGUUGCUAAUAAGGUCUUCCAGCAACAAAUUUUCCUAGCACGGAUGAGUGUUAAUGCAACCUGGGAAGUUUCUAGCUUUGUAAAAUCUCCUUGUGGGUUUUGCAUCUCCAGAGAUUCUAUUGAAAGAGACUCUUCAAUCAGAAACAUGAGGCAAACUCUUCACAGCCAAACGUAUCCCCCUGCAGUUAUUCAAAUUAACGUAAUGCUGCUAUUUGACUAGUUGUCCUUGAGAUGGUUGUUUACUAGUUGUUUCUAAUAAAGUAAUUAGGCAAAACUCAUUAUUUCUAUCACUGUAAUUUUAAUUAACAACACAAAACUUACAUAUGCUGUUAAAAAGGACAAAAACAUAUAUGGGAGGGCAUAUUCUUUCAGAUGUUGUCUUAGAAAGAAAGUGAGACUAGAAAAAUGGGAAAACAGAAAAGGGAAGAAAAUGCAAAUUUUAGAUUUUCCUAUGUGACUCCUUAUAGUAAGACACUUCCUUUGUCCUUUUGUAAAGUCAGUUCUUUUGUUUGGUUGCCUUUUUUGCAUUGGGUUGUUUGCUUUAUUAAAGAACUUUCCCCCAGCUUGUGCUUUCAUACUCUCUAAAAUGUGUUUUAAUAUGUAAUUCUCUACAGGAACUGUAGAUGGAGAUCAUAGUCAAGUUCAGAGCACAAUCACAUUUCAGAACAAACAGUAACUGGACGGACAGUGCAGGGGAAGUCAGACAGAACUUUCAGAGUGUAGAGCAAUAAGGGGCAAGAUAACAUAUAAUGACAGAAAAAAAAGAGAAGAAGAGAAGAGAAGAGAAGAGAAGAGAAGAGAAGAGAAGAGAAGAGAAGAGAAGAGAAGAGAAGAGAAGAGAAGAGAAGAGAAGAGAAGAGAAGAGAAGAGAAGAGAAGAGAGAAAAAGAAGGAAAGAAGAGGGAACAGUUCCCAAAUCUAAGUUUUACAGAUUAUGGUUUCCUGGAAACUACUCAGAGCACAGAAGUGGAUUUAACUGACGGAUAUCGAAGCCAUCAACGGUGAUAGUACCUUAAGUUAGGAAACAGUGAAGCCAAGUGUGUUUGACACGUACUAAAAAGAGUCUGAAGGAACAGCUGAGAACGACAACCCCUGGGGAAUCACACACUGUACUGGUGGAUCAGAAAUGCAAAGCUAUGCAGGCACCACCACAAGGUAACCAUACACCCCAAAAGGAGACACGCACCUCAAGCACAUGAACCCCAGCUGUGUAUAAGGUUUAUCUGAGAUGCAAAGCAUUAAUUGUUGCAAAUGAGAGCAACACACAAACCAUACCUGAGAUAGGAUCAUACAGCCGCAGCAGGAGGGAUACAAUCGUUGAUUUCCCUGUACCACUUGGGCCAACGAGAGCCAUAACAGAGCCCGCUGGAAUGGACAGGCUGAAAUCUUUGAAAAUUGAUACUUCUGGACGUGUUGGAUAGGCAAAUUCAACAUCUUUGAAUUCCAAAGCACCUCUGAAUACAUCUUUGCCUAAUGUGAUUCCCUCUAUAUAACAAAGAAUAAAAUACAGAAAUGUGAACAGAAACAAAAAUUAGCUCAGCCCUCCUAGAACUUGCUUUACAGACACUCAAUAGAAGCACCUAUCUCCACGUUCAAUCUAUGGAUAACUGCAAGCCACAAUUCAGAACCACAGUGGUUAUAUUUCAGCCAUGAGUGAAUCAGUGUGGUAUACCAAUCAUUCCUGAAUGCAGUUUCAGGUUGUUCACCAGCACAGAACCUAUAGGCUACCUACAGCAAGAGGGAGAAUUUGCAUCUUGCUAAUACCUAAACACUAACAACAAUCACUUCUCAUAGAAUUAUCUGAAUUAGUGAACAUACUACAAACAAUUAAAGCUUUGUCAAUUAGGAGCAAUUAAAUGAAAAGGCAUUGGUGAAGGCCAAAGUCCUGUUGCCACAGAACACAAAAAGAUAAACAUUGCAAAUCAUUUAUUGCCCUUUCACCAAGCCACAAAAGUCACCUGAAGCACCCUCCUCUGAACAAGAGCAGCUCCUGUCACUGGAAUAAAGCUGCUGCUAGGUUUGUUGCACUAACAGACAAUUUUUAGUUUUAUUUUCUCCUUUCAGUGGAAAGCAUAUUUAAUAAAUUCAAAUACCAAUUCAGAGGCCUAGCUCCUGGGCAACAGUUCACUGAAAGGAAAAUUUCUCUUUGUGAAAUUUUCCAUCAAUGAAACCACCAUGAAUUAACAACUACCAAAGUUAAAUAAAACCAGCUUCUUUCUGGAAGACAGCAUUUGACUUAAAGAAGUAUCUUAAUAUCAUUACUAGAAAAAGUUGAUAAACAGUUAAGACAAAGACACAAAAUUUCUUCAAACCCUGUUAAAACCCAGUGACAUAUAUCCAUAAAAAGCAAAUUAAUUGGACAGUGGGGCUGCAUUCCCAAAAGAUGAAGUUCCCACCAACUUUGUAAAAACUGGCAGUACUAGAGCAAUAUACCCUAGUCAUGAUUGUUUGUGCUGGAGAAACACAGCUCAAACUCUUAAUUCUUUUCAGAUGCAGCACACAAGUAACUCCCAACCAGCCACAGAAUAGGGUAGCACAUGCCAAUGUUUGGUUAAACAGUAACUGUGGAUAGGAAACAAAGACACCCAUCAGUAACAAUCAAGAUUUCAGUAGUUCUGCUCUUUUUUUUCCAGGUUUCCAUUUCUUCUCCAGGUUUUCAGUUUAAUGAUAGUUGCAUUGGAAUGGAAAAGGCAAAAGCAUACAAUUCCAGAUUGCUUCCUUGACUUUAACUGAUGGACACACACACUGUAAUGUUUCCAUAAUAGCCUGUAAACCUCCUUUUCAGAAAAGAAAUGUGUUUGCUAAAUCCUGUGUUAGCAGCAUAAUCCUUAUUACCCCGGUAGCAAGUAAUCACUUAAGUCUCAGCUGCAGUUACCGCACAUUCUAUCCAUGGCCUGAAACACUAAAUCUACUGCAAUACAGGAAGUCUGCUACCACAAGUCCUUCCUCCAUAUAUCACUGUAAAAAUAUCUAAAAGUUAUGUACUUGUCUCUUGUUUGGAUUCUAGACACAAGAAAAAAGACAUUAUCAUUUGUUCCCAAGAUAUCUGCUGUCACCAGCAACAACCAGAGUUCUGCAAAAAUAAAAUCUUGCCCCCUCAAAUACAGAAGAAAUGUGGGUAGUAUUAUGGCAAGGAGAAAGGUGCAAAUCACUCCAAAAGCAACACCUGCUGUAGCUGCACAUCCAUACUACUCCAAGGAGCAGAAGUCCCCCUAUCAGCCCUAGCCUUUACUUCCUUUUAUUCCCCAGUCAUGUUUCAGUCCCUGAUUCCUAUGUCAAAACAAUCCAAAAACUCAGUUUAGUAUGUGUGGCUGAAAGGCCUCAAACUGUGUGUUUGCAAGUAAAGAUUCAUAUCAUUCAUGUCGUAGGGGCUGAUUUUCACUGGAUCAGUAUGAAAUGUUUAAGCUUGCAAUACACUCAAUGAAAACCACCUGGUUUUGAAAGUUUCUCUGAUCAUUUCUUAGCCAUUAGAGACGAGCACGGUAAACCAUUCAUUGGCAAUAUGAGACACAGCCAUCUCAAAGAGCUCCUCCCUCCUCUCCUUUUUUUCUUUCCACUCUUUUCCCUCUAAAGCAGGAAGUAGUGCUGACAUCAACAAGCAAUUCCACAAAGCUAGAAAUGACCAUGUUCUCAGUCACAUAAAUUAGAAAGUAACAUGAUUUAAAAUCAUAUUCUGAAUUAAAUAAAUAAAAAUAAUUAAAACAAAAGUAAUUAAUUAAGCUAAACUUUUGGCUUCUAAAAUUUUUUAUUAAAGGAAUUUUUCAUCAUCUGUUUCAUACUUAGGUAAAGUCAGAAUGAUUAUGACUAUAUUUAGUUUCUUUGAAAAUGAUGUAAGUCAGUACUACGUUUAAGUGUUACACACAUCCUUCUAAGGUAUUGCUGACCCAUAAGACAAAAUCAGCCUUUAAACAGUAACAAACCAAGAACCUACCAUUAAAUGGAAGUUGGGGCUUCCUUUCAAUAAGUUCCCAAAGACGUCCACCAGCACCUAGUCCUUUCAUUAGCUCAGAAUAAAAGGAACUUAGACCUGAAUAAAAAGCAGAACAGUAUUAUGCAUCCAUAUGCAAUGGAAGACACAGAAGAGAUAAAAUUAGUGUUACACUUUGCAGCAGCAGCAUUGAAGGAUCAGAUGUGUAGAGGAUCUUUUAUUCCAACAAACUGUUAAACAUGUUAAAUCCUAUCUAGUCUAUCUAGUCUCAUUUGAGAGCUUCCAAUAACCCUUAUUCACCAUUCUUAUUUAUAUCUGUAAAACAAAUCACUCUGAAGAAAAGAAAAUGCUAAUACACUUCAGCUUAUGUAUAUCCUUUGUCAUUCACUUGUCAGAAAGAACAGCAUCCAGCUUUAGGAAAAUGGCUUUGCAUUCAACCAGUUAUAUUCCCAGAACAUUCAGCAGAACAGAGCAUUCUGAAUGCUCUUCUUUCUCAGACAAGUUUACAGGAAUACAGGAGAGCCUGGCUGAGUCAGUCACAGCAGAGAGAGGGCACAAAACCUAAGGCUGAAGUGAUGAUUGAGAAGGUGUGUGGAGAGUGGAGAAGUGGAAAGCAAUGUGCCUUCCAUGCCAGAAAACUUCAAACAGUACUGGAGAAAGCAAAAGCUAAGGACGAGGCCUGCACAUAGUAGUGGGUCCCAGCUCUUAGCACAUGUGUGAAUCAUCUUGAAAGUAGCUUGGCUGAAGGGCUUUCCAGAUGACAUAAACACAGAAACCAACAUAUAGCUAAAAAUGGAGUAGUACAUAGAUAUAAGAUGUCCAAUUUCUUAAAUUUGUGUGUGCCUUUAAAAAGAAAGACACCGAUUUAAUGAUCUUUGAAUUCCGGUAAAAUGCUUAAAUGUUAUUUCAGGAGGGCAGAAAAACAAAGAUGGAUUUAAAAAUAUGUAUAUCUAAAUAUGUAUAUAUAUAUAUAUAUAUAAUGGAUUUACUGGUUUAUUUUUGCAGAGCAAGAAGCUCAGCUCAAAGUCACAAGUCUGUAAGUGUAGGCAGGGUGUUUCAUCAUGCUGCUGCUAAGGACUAUCUGAAAGUUUGCAACACUGGCCAUGGCGAGAAGCUGUCUACUUGGAAAACAGAGCCAAAGAAUCACAUCCUAGAGCAGGACAUGGCAGGGGAAGGCAUAAGCCUCACAGAGCAACUUCAAACUCAAACACUGAGGUUUGCAAAUCCACAACUACUCAUAAACAAAACAUUAUAUAAUAUGGACAGCAAAUACAAAUUAGAAAACACUUACAUUUUUCAUAACCCAUGUACUGUGUUUGGAAGAAAACACAGCAAACUUACAACAAAGAGGGGCAAAGUCACAGAUUAUGCAGUGAACUUCACAGUUGUUGCAUCGACCCCCACAUGUACUGAUGACAUAUACAGAGCAGACUUAGCACUUGGAAGAUUUAUAUGCCUUGUAGGCAUCUAGGAAAGCAGGCCUCUUGUGGCAAGACACCUCUGCUUCAGAGUCCCUAUGAGAAUGAGCUCUGUGCAGAACUACACUCUACAAUAAUCUGACCUAGAAUUUAAAAAUACGUUUUUAUAGCAAAUGAAAGUUAAUUUAAUGAUAUUUUUAGCAGUGCUUCUAAUCAUCAUUUAUUUAACAUCAGCUUGUCCCAUGUUUUCAAAGUGCCAGGUAUUUCUCCAUUGACCAAACUUCAAUGAUUUAAGCAGAGAAGAAAGGGGGCUGGUAGUUGGAAUGGGUGCCACUGGAAUUCUGAUAUACAAGGAAGCAGGUUUGUUAAAUUUUGCCCUCAAGCACAAGGGCAAAAUUUGUCCUUCCCAUGAUAUCAGGCCUAGUCUUAAAAAAGAAAAAGCUGCAUUGCCCUCCUAGUCUAGCAGGCUCAUUUUAAAGAAGAAUACUUCCAGUACAUUGUAGAGCUUCUGAGCAACUUAUCUUCAUUCUUGCCUGUAUGCAGCCAUGAAGACAGCUCUGACAAAAAGAUAAACAGCUUGUUGCUGGGUCAGUAGAUUACAGACUAUGGGCUUCUGGGAGGAGUCAGUGAGUAAGGAAAACCGGAAGGUUAGCACCAAGUGCAGUAUUCUGCUGGCACUUUGUUUACUCUUCCAGUUGAGGACACUCUAUACUGAAUUACAGCUAAAUGUUACAUGCCUUUCUAAAUAAAGUAUGCUUAACACAGACCCAAAUAUUUUAUUGCUUUACAUAAUACAGCAAGUAUCUUAAUUUAGACCUUAAGAAAAGUAAUGUAAUAUAUACUGUCACAUGCACACAUUGAAAAAAAACUACCUUUCUUUUGGGGAAAAAGAAGGCUUAUAUUAAGUUACAGAUUAUUAUUUUAGAAAUAAAAAUUCAGAAAAAAAAAUCUUGAGAAGUUAAUUUAAAAAAAAUAUAAUUUCUUCAGAAGUUAACUUGGAAGACUUUUUAAGAAAGUCAGAUUUUUUAAGAGCUUCUUCCCUCCCACCCCUAUGAUGACUGUAAUGCUUUGAAGUGAAGAAAAUCUAAUUUCCUGUUCCAUACCUCCAAUGCUUAUGCCAACCCAGAAAGCAUACAUUAGGAAAGAUGAGAGUUCACCAACUGUCAUGUAGGCACUGCCCAUUAGUAAUCCACCUUUGUAUAACACUGAGAGGACAAUUAAGUUUCCAGAAAGGCCAGUCUAAGGAAAAAGGAAAAGGCAGACUUUGUCACAUACAUCUUACAUUUCAUCCUCUAAAAUGUUGUUUCAGAACUUUCCUUGUAAUGAAAAGAACUCUCACACUAUAGGUAUCUAGACUUUUGGAGGACUGAGGUAAAUUCAACAAUUCUAAUGUAAAGCCAGCCAACAGCCAGCCAGACAUCCAUGGCACUGUGCUAUCCAACAAGUGUUCAAAAAGCAAGCAACUAUUUUUUGGCUUUUUUUUCCCCACGUGGAAAGGAGCACUAAACAUUAUUCUCAACCAUCAUUACCAAGGAAGAAUUGAUAGUCUUCAGUUAUGUUCCAGUUUUAGAAUUCAAUUAGACAAACAGUUAUGGAAAAAGCCAAGCCUACCUACCUGCGCACUCCCCACCUUGCUAUGACUGAUGCUCCUCUCACUGGGGAGCCAAACCUCUAAAUGCUAAGGGCAGGGGAAGGUUUCCACUGGUUUAAUUCCUUGAAUAGAAGGUAUGGCCUCAGAUAAGCAGUCCCCUGCCUGGGGCAUGGUACAGAAAUUGCGGCUUAAAGUGAUUUUAUUGUACUGUUUUAUCUUGAGAUGCAGUUUCACAGCAAUUUAGAGUUAUUUAAGUCCAGUCAUCCCACAGUUUUAUACGUUAUAUACAUUCAAUUUAUUUUCAAUAAUUUACUUGCAGAUUUUUAAGUAUUAUCAGGAGUUUUAAAAUAAUUGACACUUUGCAUAACAGGGUUGGCUUACUUUCAUUAAAUAUACUUACUGCUCCAAAGAAGCCUGCUCGAGCUAGUGCCUCUUUUUUAGCCAGCUGUAGCACAUAAUCAACUUUAUUUGUGUACUUCUCCAUUUCAGCCACUUCUUGCCCAAAAGCUCGAACGGUUCUGAUGUUUCCAAUACGUUCUUCAGCUAACUGCAUUGAAGCAAAGCACAAAACAGAUCCACAGAGACACACAAUUUGAAAUACUCACAUUACAGAACAUCUGAAAGUUAAAUCAAUAUCACUUCACUAAUUUACAUAUCCUUGGAUAGCAUUAGAAAAUUUCUCAUGGCUUCCUCUCCACACCCCAAACCCCAUUUUUUAAAAUUCUAUUAAGUUAAAAGCAAAUUGCAUGCCCAGGCAGUUUUAAAAAAACCUCAAGAUUGUCUUAAGUGCUAGCAGAGACAGAAAAAUAUAAAACUAGGGUUAAAAAAUUUGGUGUAAACAACACCCAUAGGGAAGCUACUAUUCACAAUAUUCAAUAACCAUGUGGGAAGAGAAAAAAAAAAGAAUAUUCUUUUCCUUACUGAGUCAUGCAAAAAAAGCCUGCAGUUAUUUCCUAAAACAAUUCCACUCAUUUGAUCAAAGCAAUGCUGGGAAUUAAUUUAGCCCAACUACUAAUGUCUCAUUUCGACUCAGUAUUUUAACUUCUAAACAGCAAAGUAUUAAUUCUAAAAUACCUCAACUGUAACCAAUUACACUAAGUUGUUAAUGGACAUUGUGA
RNA transcript from Passer domesticus (house sparrow), 8274 nucleotides. RefSeq lists it as uncharacterized. The transcript is spliced from 4 exons. The record is from RefSeq and is a predicted model, not a curated record. Lineage: Eukaryota; Metazoa; Chordata; Aves; Passeriformes; Passeridae.